AUUGAACGCUAGCGGGAUGCCUUACACAUGCAAGUCGAACGGAGUGGCGAACGGGUGAGUAAUGUAUCGGAACGUGCCCAGUAGCGGGGGAUAACUACGCGAAAGCGUAGCUAAUACCGCAUACUAUUGGAGUGGCCGAUAUCGGAUUAGCUAGUUGGUGGGGGAACGGCUCACCAAGGCGAGGAUCCGUAGCUGGUUUGAGAGGACGACCAGCCACAAUGUGACUGAGACAAGGACCAUACGCCUACGUGAGGCAGCCGUGGUGAAUUUGAGACAAUGGGGGAAACCCUGAAACAGCCGUCCAACUUGAGCGAUGAAGGCCUUCAGGUUGUAAAGCACUUUUGGCAGGAGAGCGGUACCUGCAGAAUAAGCACCGGAUAACUACGUGCCAGCCGCCGCGGUAAUAC
This 407-nucleotide ribosomal RNA is filed under the name uncultured bacterium. RNAcentral describes it as "partial 16S ribosomal RNA". It matches the Rfam family "Bacterial small subunit ribosomal RNA", at positions 30 to 526 of the family's 1533-position model. The record is from RNAcentral.